CAGUCGCGCGGUAAUACGUAGGGUGCAAGCGUUAAUCGGAAUUACUGGGCGUAAAGCGUGCGCAGGCGGUUAUAUAAGACAGAUGUGAAAUCCCCGGGCUCAACCUGGGAACUGCAUUUGUGACUGUAUAGCUAGAGUACGGCAGAGGGGGAUGGAAUUCCGCGUGUAGCAGUGAAAUGCGUAGAUAUGCGGAGGAACACCGAUGGCGAAGGCAAUCCCCUGGGCCUGUACUGACGCUCAUGCACGAAAGCGUGGGGAGCAAACAGGAUUAGAGACCCCCGUAGUCCCUGUCUCUUAUACC
Molecule: ribosomal RNA, 301 nt
Filed under: uncultured bacterium
Lineage: Bacteria
Description: partial 16S ribosomal RNA
Rfam family: Bacterial small subunit ribosomal RNA
Source: RNAcentral